RNAcentral lists this ribosomal RNA (273 nucleotides) under Klebsiella pneumoniae. RNAcentral's name for it is "partial 23S ribosomal RNA". It matches the Rfam family "Bacterial large subunit ribosomal RNA", at positions 1504 to 1771 of the family's 2925-position model. The record is from RNAcentral. Lineage: Bacteria; Pseudomonadati; Pseudomonadota; Gammaproteobacteria; Enterobacterales; Enterobacteriaceae.
GUCCCGGUUUAAGCAUGUAGGCUGAUUGUCCAGGCAAAUCCGGAUAAUCAAGGCUGAGGUGUGAUGACGAGGCACUACGGUGCUGAAGUAACAAAUGCCCUGCUUCCAGGAAAAGCCUCUAAGCAUCAGGUAACAUUAAAUCGUACCCCAAACCGACACAGGUGGUCAGGUAGAGAAUACCAAGGCGCUUGAGAGAACUCGGGUGAAGGAACUAGGCAAAAUGGUGCCGUAACUUCGGGAGAAGGCACGCUGGUGUGUAGGUGAAGUCCCUGC